RNAcentral lists this long non-coding RNA (344 nucleotides) under Gossypium barbadense (sea-island cotton). Its description in RNAcentral is "long non-coding RNA (GBAR_LNC006374)". Lineage: Eukaryota; Viridiplantae; Streptophyta; Magnoliopsida; Malvales; Malvaceae. The record is from RNAcentral.
CAAUGUUCAAUUUUAAUGAUAAGCCUUAAUAGUAUGAAUUGCUUAAAACUUACUAAGCCUCGAAAGCUUACUCUGUUUCUUAUUUCUUUGUUUUAUAGAUUGUUGAUUUUGGCUAUCGACUCGGGGAUCGUCAGCAGUUCUUCAUACUAUCGAUCUUUUUGGUACAGUUAUAUUUUGGACUCGAUAUGGCAUGUAUAGGUUGGACUGUUGACAAAAAUAUGUUUUGAAAUUGUAAAUAUCUUGACCGUAUGAAAAUGGCACUUAUGAAUUAUAAAUCUGUAUGUAUUCAGUUCGAUUUAUACUUGUGUUGGUAGAUUAUGUGAUUGAAAUUUAAUGUUUAGCUU